GCAGUCAGUGCUCUUAACCUCUGAGCCAUCUCUCCAGCCCCCUAUAUGAGCAUUUUGCCUACAUGUAUGACUGUGCACUGUGUGCUUGUCUAACACCCAUGAAGGUCCAAAGAAGGCAUCAGAUGCCCUGGAACUGGAAUUACGGAUGGUUUUGAACCACUAUGUGAAGCCUGGAAACCGACCCCGUCCUCUAUAAGAGCAACAAGAGCUGCUCUUAUGGCUCAGAGGUUAAGAGCAGCUCUUAACCUCUGAGCCAUCUCUCAAGCCUAUUAAAAGUUGUUAUUUCGUUGUUUUGUUUGUCAUUGAUAUUCACAGGGAUGUAACUUUUUAUCAUUGUCUUAAACAUCUUACUUAUAGUUUGUCAAUUUUUUAACACUGGGUGUUAAAAUUGAGAAGAAUGUGGUGUGUGUAUUUCUUCUUCUUCCUCUCUCCUCUUUUCUCUCUCUGUCUGUAAUCAAAGACGCAUUUGUAUCUUGAUUCUUUAGAUAUAAUAAACCCUCCAGCUACAGGAAUACUUCUUUUUUUGUUAAAAAAAAUCCUUCUCUGCUGCUACUGUUGUUGUCAGUUUUUGUUCACUUGUUUGAGACAAGAGUCCCUUGUAAACCAGAACUUAUUUAGAAAAUGGACACCCGACGGUUGAACUCUGACCACCUCGUGCCUGCUGUGGCAGGUGAGUGAUCACACUCACAUACAACUCAUACAUGUUACACACAAGCAGGCUGAGUGUGGCGGCUCACACUUGUAUUCCAUGUGGAUCUGAUUUACAGUAGCCAUGCCUGUGGUUUCAGAUGAGUAAGUUUAUUAAGCAUGCAGCAAGCAAAAGCAAAUGAAUAAGCAGGAGAUGGUUGGAAGCAGCAGACAGAAGGUGAAAGCACCAUAUAUUGUGAACUUAUAAUAUCUAGCAGGAACAACUGGAGUAACCUGGCUGGGAGAGCAAGCAAAAGCAACAUAACCAAAUCAGGCGCUUGUAACAUCUAGCAGAAAUGACGAGGGAAGCCCUGCUGAAGUGGGCGGGAGCUCCAGAGCGGGAGCACAGAGUAGAGCAAUCUCUGCAUAGGUGAGCUUCUACCUUCCUGUUCCCACUGCAGGCAUUCCUAAAGCAUGUGAUAAAUAGUAACUUCCGGUGGAAAUAGUUUACCUUCCAGAUGUUUGCAAAAGUGAAAUAGUUUUAAUAUCCUUAACCACUUGCUGUUGUCCUUUCUCUCUGCCCCAGAGUUAAGGAGUCACCCUGUCCCAGGACAAGGAGAUUUGGAGGACAUUCAAGGACAUAUUCAAUUCUGAGAGGCAGCCCAUCUCUUGUUCCCAGAGUCUGCUUAAGCAAAAACAGCACAUAAAAAUUUGCCAGUAUAGUGCAUACUACACUGAGACCAAAAGGUUGCUGAAAGUUCAAGGCCAGCCUAGGCUAUGGAGUGACACCUUGUUUCACAAAAGCAAAAACCAAAGUAAAAAUAAACAACUAGCAAAUGCUGACAAAGAUGUGUAGUGGUGGUGGAUGACUCUCACACUCUGGAAAGCCGUGUAAACUGCUACAGCCACUGUGAAAACUAGUAUGGAAAUUCCUCAAGAAACAAACAAGUAAACAAAAUCACUGGGGUUGGAGAAUGGCUAAGCACUUAAGAGUACAGGCUGUUUUUCUAGAGGAUUUAGAUUCAAUUCUUAGACCCACACGUGGCCCACAAGGGUCUCUGUAACUGCAGUUCCAGGUAACGUAACACCCUCUUCUGGCCUCCUUGGGCAUCAAUGGUACAUAGGCAUACACGCAGGCAAAAUAUCCACAUCCCACACAUUAAAAAAGGAAACAACAACAAAAACGUAUAUUCCUAUACCACGUCUGGGAAUAUACCAAAAGGACUAUAGCACAAUGGAGUUUAUGUAGCCACAAAAAAAAAAUUAUGUCAUUUCCAGGGAAAUGGGUAGACCUGGAGAUGAUCGUAAGUGAACUAGAAUCAGAAAGACAAAUAUCACAUUUAUCUCAUCAUGGAGCCUUCUUUGUGUGUGUGUAUGCACUAGUAUGUGUGAAUGUGUGUGUGUGUGUGUGAUAUUAGUUGCUUCUCUGAUGCUGUGAUAAAAUACCAUGACUAAAAGCAAUUUAUAGAUGAUUGUUUUUGAGUUACCAUUCCAGGGGGGAGAGUCCAAAAUGACCAAGAAGGUAAGGCAUGGUGGGAGAAACAGGAAGCAGACUGCUCAUGUCUUCAUCUAUACACAAGAAGCAUACAGAGAGAACAGGAAGUGGGACAAGACUACAAACCCUGAAAGCCCAUCCCCAGCAACUUACUUCCUCCACAUACACAGUUUUCCUUGUUUGUCAACCUGAUUGGAUUAGCAUCAACUAAGAGAGAAGCUGCUUGUCCAUCAUGUUCCUGUGACUCUACAGGGAUCUUCAAGGCCUUCCAUGCCAUGACAGCUGCUGGGAGAUCGGACUGAGGACUGGUCUACUGCUGAGUUCUUGAUCUCUUUGGAUAAGACAACCACCACUGGGCUACUCUGACUGUAUCAUAGCCUCUGAACACCUUAGAUGCCACAGGAAGUGUGUGAUAAUGCUAGGGAUCUAAAGGAGAAACAAAUCUGAAGGUGGGAGGAUGAUGCUUAAGCAAGUGCUAUGGACAUGACAACUAAUGUCGACAGUAAAUAUGGUAAACAGGUGAAUGAAGAGACUGUGGCUUUCCAACAUGGAGUUCCUGUAUCUUUUCCGGAGAGAAGCUUGAUGGUGCUUUGAAGAUUCCUGGAAAGCUGACUGGAAGUUGGGGACAUGCUUCCUGUGUGUACUGAAGGAACUGGACUGCAUCUUUACAGACAGGUUACUCGGGACACAUCAGAGAAUAAAACAAGGAGCCCUGCCCCCGAGGAACGUACAGUCUGUCUUGUAUUACCACUUCACCUGCGUACUGCUUGUGACCUUGGGCAAGUCACUGCACCUUUCUGCCCAACAGGAUAAAAAGAGGCUGGGCUCAGUAGCCACUGAGCAGGUGUACUGCAGAUGCGGACCCUGACCCACCAGACAGCAGAGAGGGCUGGAGGUGGACUUUUAAUAACCAGGUACAAUCAGAAGGGAGAGGAGGAUUACACAAGCUGCUGCUGCUGCUGCUUGGUGGUGGCCUUGUUGGCCAGGUCCUUGGCCUUCUCUGUAGCUGCCAGCACUGUCUCCUUUGCUUUUCCUUUGGCCUCUUUGGCUGUCUCAACAAGCUGGCUCCUGCUUUUAUGAAUUGCCUUAGGAAUUUUUUUCUGUAACACUAGAGAGUUUCAUGUUUUUAUAACAUUUUAUUUUGUAUGCACAUAUGUAUGUUAUGUAACUACACACACCACAGCAGGUUUUUCUUCCUCCAUGUGGGGGCCUGGGGAUCAAACUCAGGCCAUCAGGCAAUAGGCACCCUUACUUGCUAAACCAUCUUGAUGGCCUUGGAUGUAUACUUUCUUCUAAUCCUUUUUAAAGAUCCCUCCAUCUUGGAGCUCAGGGGAGGUGUUAUUCCAAAUGGAGCACACAUAUCUAAAGAUUCAAAGCCAGAAAACACAAAUGAGAGAAAACAUGUAGCGUUGUCCUUCUGGGUAUGGGUUACCUCACUCAGGAUUGUUUCCAGCUCCAUCUGUUUACCUACAAAUUUCAUAACCGCUUUUUUUUCUCAACAGCUGAAUAAUAUUGUAUAAGUGUUCCACAUUUUCAGUAUCGGUUCAUCAGUUGAUGGAUAUCCAGGUUGUUUUCAUUUCCCGGCUAUUGUGAAUAGAGCAGCUAUAAACACGAAUGAACAAGUUUCUCUGUGUAGGAUAUAGAGUUCUUUGGGUAUAUGCCCAAGAGGGGCUUGGCUGGAUCAUGUAGCAGAUCCAUUUACGCUUUCUGAGGAAACUCCACAUCAAUUUCCACAGUGGCUGUACCAGUUUGUACUCCUAUCAACAGUGAAUAAGUAUUCCUCUCUCCCAGUAUCCUUGCCAACAUCUAUCAUCCUCUGUUGUUUCUGUUGUUGUUUUAAUCUUAGUGAGUCUGAAUGGGGAAAUCUCACUGUAGUUUUAAUUUGCAUUUCCCUACUUGCUAAAGGUGUUGAGCAUAUUAAAACAGGUUUCUCAGUCAUUCGUAUUUCAUCUUUUAAGAAUUCUCUGUUCCCUGUCUCGUUUUUAAAUUGGGAUGCUUGUUUUC
Long non-coding RNA from Mesocricetus auratus (golden hamster), 4126 nucleotides. RefSeq lists it as uncharacterized. The record is from RefSeq and is a predicted model, not a curated record. NCBI's taxonomy places the organism in Eukaryota, Metazoa, Chordata, Mammalia, Rodentia, Cricetidae. The transcript has 6 exons.